Molecule: ribosomal RNA, 412 nt
Filed under: uncultured bacterium
Lineage: Bacteria
Description: bacterial SSU rRNA
Rfam family: Bacterial small subunit ribosomal RNA
Source: RNAcentral
AACGGGUGAGUAAUAUAUCGGAACCGUACCCCGUCGGGGGGGGAUAACACAGCGAAAGCUGUGCUAAUACCGCAUACGACCUGAGGGUGAAAGCGGGGGAUCGCAAGACCUCGCGCGAUGGGAGCGGCCGAUAUCGGAUUAGCUAGUUGGUGAGGUAAAGGCUCACCAAGGCGACGAUCCGUAGCGGGUCUGAGAGGAUGAUCCGCCACACUGGGACUGAGACACGGCCCAGACUCCUACGGGAGGCAGCAGUGGGGAAUUUUGGACAAUGGGCGCAAGCCUGAUCCAGCCAUGCCGCGUGAGUGAAGAAGGCCUUCGGGUUGUAAAGCUCUUUCGGUGGGGAAGAAAUUGCUUCGGUUAAUACCUGGAGUAGAUGACGGUACCCGCAUAAGAAGCACCGGCUAACUACGUG